CUGGCUCAGGAUGAACGCUGGCGGUAUGCCUAACACAUGCAAGUCGAACGGUCUUGAAAGA
Molecule: ribosomal RNA, 61 nt
Filed under: Gloeocapsa sp. PCC 73106
Lineage: Bacteria; Bacillati; Cyanobacteriota; Cyanophyceae; Chroococcidiopsidales; Chroococcidiopsidaceae
Description: partial 16S ribosomal RNA
Source: RNAcentral